This 272-nucleotide long non-coding RNA is filed under the name Elaeis guineensis (African oil palm). RNAcentral describes it as "long non-coding RNA (EGUI_LNC054789)". The record is from RNAcentral. Lineage: Eukaryota; Viridiplantae; Streptophyta; Magnoliopsida; Arecales; Arecaceae.
CUUCUUCAGAUGCUGAUGCUUGACAGUCAGUGACUUAUUUUUAUAUUUUUUUAUUUUAUUUUGGACCUCUUGUAAUUAUUAAUUUUUUUAUAAUUAUAAUUUAAUAUACUGAAAUGAUCAAAUUUAUUUUUUAUUUUAAUUUUAUAGAUUAUAAAUCUAAAACACUAAAAAUAUAAAUUAAAAAAUAAAUAUUUUUAAAUUAUUAUUUAAAAAAAUAUUAUAUUUUAAUUAGUGAUAAAAUUAUUUGUGAUGAAAUUUAUGCCUCAAAUAAC